GGGACCCCGAGUGCGCAGGCAUAGUGCCUGUGCUUUUGGUGACCGUAGGGAGGUCACCGAAUAAGAGCUGGGCAAGACCGGUGCCAGCCGCCGCGGUAAUACCGGCAGCUCGAGUGAUGACCGAUUUUAUUGGGCCUAAAGCGUUCGUAGCCGGCCUGUCAAGUCCGUCGGGAAAUCCACGCGCUCAACGCGUGGGCGUCCGGCGGAACCUGAGAGGCUUGGGACCGGAAGGCGCGACGGGUACGUCCAGGGUAGGAGUGAAAUCCCGUAAUCCUGGACGGACCGCCGAUGGGGAAACCACGUCGCGAGGACGGAUCCGACGGUGAGGGACGAAAGCUAGGGUCUCGAACCGGAUUAGAUACCCGGGUAGUCCUAGCCGUAAACGAUGCCUGUUAGGUGUGGCCCCCGCUACGAGCGGGUGCUGUGCCGUAGGGAAGCCGCUAAACAGGCCGCCUGGGAAGUACGUCCGCAAGGAUGAAACUUAAAGGAAUUGGCGGGGGAGCACUACAACCGGAGGAGCCUGCGGUUUAAUUGGACUCAACGCCGGACAUCUCACCAGCAUCGACUGUAGUAAUGACGGUCAGGUUGAUGACCUCGCCACGAGCUACAGAGA
Molecule: ribosomal RNA, 613 nt
Filed under: Halopenitus sp. GuC5
Lineage: Archaea; Methanobacteriati; Methanobacteriota; Halobacteria; Halobacteriales; Haloferacaceae
Description: bacterial SSU rRNA
Rfam family: Archaeal small subunit ribosomal RNA
Source: RNAcentral